UGUGUAGGCGGCCGCGCAAGUCGGAUGUGAAAUCCCCGGGCUCAACCCGGGAAGUGCACCCGAUACUGCGUGGCUCGAGUACCGGAGAGGUUGGUGGAAUUCUCGGUGUAGAGGUGAAAUUCGUAGAUAUCGAGAGGAACACCGGUGGCGAAGGCGGCCAACUGGACGAGUACUGACGCUGAGACACGAAAGCGUGGGGAGCAAACAGGAUUAGAUACCCUGGUAGUCCACGCCGUAAACGAUGGGUGCUAGGUGUCACGGGCUUUGACUCCUGUGGUGCCGUAGCCAACGCAUUAAGCACCCCGCCUGGGAAGUACGGCCGCAAGGCUAAA
Molecule: ribosomal RNA, 332 nt
Filed under: uncultured bacterium
Lineage: Bacteria
Description: bacterial SSU rRNA
Rfam family: Bacterial small subunit ribosomal RNA
Source: RNAcentral